RNAcentral lists this long non-coding RNA (329 nucleotides) under Manacus vitellinus (golden-collared manakin). RNAcentral's name for it is "lncRNA (ENSMVIG00005012288.1)". Lineage: Eukaryota; Metazoa; Chordata; Aves; Passeriformes; Pipridae. The record is from RNAcentral.
AAUCGGAUGAUAGAGGGACAAUUUGACAGAAGGUUCAGAGCAGUACUGAAGAAGUAGCUUCUCUGCUCUUUAGAAGAGUAGUUUGCAUUGAGCCCUCUUUGGAUGAGAUCUGCACUGUGGGCUGCACUCAGCCCUUAAUGCUGAAACUCCCUCAGUCAAAAUUGCCUGUGCCCACCUGUGUGCCUGAGGGAAGCUGCUUCUGUGGACUGCAAGAACAACAUGAUUAAAGGAAAACUGGCUUCUCCUGUGUUUGAAAUCCCAUUCAUAGGUUUCUAUGGAAGCUUUUAACUGCUUAACAAACCUGAGAGUUAGUGGUCAUAAUUAAGUUA